This 492-nucleotide ribosomal RNA is filed under the name uncultured bacterium. RNAcentral describes it as "partial 16S ribosomal RNA". It matches the Rfam family "Bacterial small subunit ribosomal RNA", at positions 29 to 507 of the family's 1533-position model. The record is from RNAcentral.
AUUGAACGCUGGCGGCAUGCUUUACACAUGCAAGUCGAACGGUAACAGGCCUUCGGGUGCUGACGAGUGGCGCACGGGUGAGUAAUGCAUCGGAACGUACCCAGAGGUGGGGGAUAACGCAGCGAAAGCUGUGCUAAUACCGCAUGUGAUCUGAGGAUGAAAGCGGGGGACCGAGCAGCAAUGUUUGGCCUCGCGCCUUUGGAGCGGCCGAUGUCGGAUUAGCUAGUUGGUGGGGUAAAGGCCUACCAAGGCGACGAUCCGUAGCUGGUCUGAGAGGACGACCAGCCACACUGGGACUGAGACACGGCCCAGACUCCUGCGGGAGGCAGCAGUGGGGAAUUUUAGACAAUGGGCGCAAGCCUGAUCCAGCAAUGCCGCGUGCGGGAAGAAGGCCUUCGGGUUGUAAACCGCUUUUGGCAGGAACGAAACGGUGUCCGCUAAUACCGGGCGCUAAUGACGGUACCUGCAGAAUAAGCACCGGCUAACUACGUG